GUGGGGAAUAUUGGACAAUGGGCGAAAGCCUGAUCCAGCCAUGCCGCGUGAGUGAUGAAGGCCUUAGGGUUGUAAAGCUCUUUCAGUAGGGAAGAUAAUGACGGUACCUACAGAAGAAGCCCCGGCUAACUUCGUGCCAGCAGCCGCGGUAAUACGAAGGGGGCUAGCGUUGUUCGGAUUUACUGGGCGUAAAGCGCACGUAGGCGGAUUGGUCAGUUAGAGGUGAAAUCCUGGAGCUCAGCUCCAGAACUGCCUUUAAUACUGCCAGUCUAGAGUCCAGAAGAGGUGAGUGGAACUCCUAGUGUAGAGGUGGAAUUCGUAGAUAUUAGGAAGAACACCAGUGGCGAAGGCGGCUCACUGGUCUGGUACUGACGCUGAGGUGCGAAAGCGUGGGGAGCAAACAGGAUUAGAAACCCGAGUAGUCC
This 425-nucleotide ribosomal RNA is filed under the name uncultured bacterium. RNAcentral describes it as "partial 16S ribosomal RNA". It matches the Rfam family "Bacterial small subunit ribosomal RNA", at positions 354 to 796 of the family's 1533-position model. The record is from RNAcentral.